RNAcentral lists this ribosomal RNA (705 nucleotides) under uncultured bacterium. RNAcentral's name for it is "bacterial SSU rRNA". It matches the Rfam family "Bacterial small subunit ribosomal RNA", at positions 779 to 1498 of the family's 1533-position model. The record is from RNAcentral.
UAGAUACCCUGGUAGUCCACGCCGUAAACGAUGAUUACUCGUUGUGCGCGAUAUACAGUGCGUGACUGAGCGAAAGCAUUAAGUAAUCCACCUGGGGAGUACGUCGGCAACGAUGAAACUCAAAGGAAUUGACGGGGGCCCGCACAAGCGGAGGAACAUGUGGUUUAAUUCGAUGAUACGCGAGGAACCUUACCCGGGCUUAAAUGGAGUGUCUCUUCGGAGAUCGAUCAUGAAAAUGACUUAGAGCUUCAAGGUGCUGCAUGGCUGUCGUCAGCUCGUGCCGUGAGGUGUCGGGUUAAGUCCCAUAACGAGCGCAACCCCUAUCAUUAGUUGCCAUCAGGUUAAGCUGGGGACUCUAAUGAGACUGCCGCCGCAAGGCGUGAGGAAGGUGGGGAUGACGUCAAGUCAGCACGGCCCUUAUGUCCGGGGCUACACACGUGUUACAAUGGCCGGUACAGAGAGUCGCUACUUGGUAACAAGAUGCUAAUCUAUAAAACCGGUCCUAGUUCGGAUUGAAGUCUGCAACUCGACUUCAUGAAGCUGGAUUCGCUAGUAAUCGUAGAUCAGCAACGCUACGGUGAAUACGUUCCCGGGCCUUGUACACACCGCCCGUCAAGCCAUGGAAGCUGGGAGUGCCUGAAGUCUGUAACCGCAAGGAGCGGCCUAGGGUAAAACUGGUAACUGGGGCUAAGUCGUAACAAGGUA